UACGUAGGUGGCAAGCGUUGUCCGGAAUUAUUGGGCGUAAAGCGCGCGCAGGCGGCCUCUUAAGUCUGAUGUGAAAGCCCCCCGGCUCAACCGGGGAGGGCCAUUGGAAACUGGGAGGCUUGAGUAUAGGAGAGAAGAGUGGAAUUCCACGUGUAGCGGUGAAAUGCGUAGAGAUGUGGAGGAACACCAGUGGCGAAGGCGACUCUUGGCCUAUAACUGACGCUGAGGCGCGAAAGCGUGGGGAGCAAACAGG
RNAcentral lists this ribosomal RNA (253 nucleotides) under uncultured bacterium. RNAcentral's name for it is "partial 16S ribosomal RNA". It matches the Rfam family "Bacterial small subunit ribosomal RNA", at positions 524 to 776 of the family's 1533-position model. The record is from RNAcentral.